This 87-nucleotide transfer RNA is filed under the name Candidatus Berkelbacteria bacterium. RNAcentral describes it as "tRNA-Leu". It matches the Rfam family "tRNA". Rfam says of the family: Transfer RNA (tRNA) molecules are approximately 80 nucleotides in length. Their secondary structure includes four short double-helical elements and three loops (D, anti-codon, and T loops). Further hydrogen bonds mediate the characteristic L-shaped molecular structure. tRNAs have two regions of fundamental functional importance: the anti-codon, which is responsible for specific mRNA codon recognition, and the 3' end, to which the tRNAs corresponding amino acid is attached (by aminoacyl-tRNA synthetases). tRNAs cope with the degeneracy of the genetic code in two manners: having more than one tRNA (with a specific anti-codon) for a particular amino acid; and 'wobble' base-pairing, i.e. permitting non-standard base-pairing at the 3rd anti-codon position. The record is from RNAcentral. Lineage: Bacteria; Candidatus Berkelbacteria.
GGGCGAGUGGCGGAAUGGUAGACGCGCAGCGUUCAGGGCGCUGUGGCCCCUAGGGCCGUGGAGGUUCAAAUCCUCUCUCGCCCACCA